This 384-nucleotide ribosomal RNA is filed under the name uncultured bacterium. RNAcentral's name for it is "partial 16S ribosomal RNA". It matches the Rfam family "Bacterial small subunit ribosomal RNA", at positions 959 to 1345 of the family's 1533-position model. The record is from RNAcentral.
ACGGGAAGACCCUUCCCAAUUUUGGACUCCCCGGGGACAAAGUGUAAAAGGUACUUUUUUUUGGGAACACGGGAAACGGGGGGGCCAGGGUGUUGUUCACCUCGGUUCGUGAAAUGUGGGGUAAAGUCCCGAAAGGAGCCAACCCCCUUCUUUUGGUACCCACCAGUAAGAUGGGCACUCUAGGGAGACUGCCGGGGAUAACCCGGAGGAAGGUGGGGAUGACGUCAAAUCAUCAUGCCCCUUAUGACCUGGGCUACACACGUGCUACAAUGGCGUAAACAAAGGGAAGCGAACCUGUGAGGGGGAGCAAAUCCCAAAAAUAACGUCUCAGUUCGGAUUGUAGUCUGCAACUCGACUACAUGAAGCGGAAUCGCUAGUAAUCGC